AAAACGGCCCUUUUCAGGGCCACUAGAGCAUUCCCUAAAAGAGUUGU
Molecule: non-coding RNA, 47 nt
Organism: Aedes aegypti (yellow fever mosquito)
Lineage: Eukaryota; Metazoa; Arthropoda; Insecta; Diptera; Culicidae
Source: Rfam